Molecule: ribosomal RNA, 309 nt
Filed under: uncultured eukaryote
Lineage: Eukaryota
Description: partial large subunit ribosomal RNA
Rfam family: Eukaryotic large subunit ribosomal RNA
Source: RNAcentral
AUAUCAAUAAGGCGAGGAACAGAAACCAACAGGGAUUCCCCCAGUAGUGGCGAAUGAAGCGGGAAAAGCUCAAGUUUGAAAUCUGAUGCAUGUCAGAGUUGUAAGCUGAAGAGGUUUCGACCGAUGGUGCUCGGGCUCAAUUCCCUUGGGAUAGGGAGUCGUGGAGGGUGAGAACCCCGUUCAUGACCUAGAGUGGCGUACUGCGAGAUGCACUUUCUAAGAGUCAGGUUGUUUGGGAAUGCAGCCUUAAAUGGGUGGUAAAUUUCAUCUAAGGCUAAAUAUAGGCGAGAGACCGAUAGCGCACAAGUA